This is a long non-coding RNA of Papaver somniferum (opium poppy), 1846 nucleotides long. RefSeq lists it as uncharacterized. The transcript has 2 exons. The record is from RefSeq and is a predicted model, not a curated record. NCBI's taxonomy places the organism in Eukaryota, Viridiplantae, Streptophyta, Magnoliopsida, Ranunculales, Papaveraceae.
UCUCUUAUGUUUCUGAAAUUGAAUAAAGACGCUGAUGAUGUUGAAACCAAGAGCUUUGUUGGUGGUCUGAGUUGGAUGAGAAGCAAAAAUUAAGGGUUUAACAGUUUAGAGAUCAGUGGGUAUUCAUCAAUCGAAGUUUGAAAGCAAAGAAGAAAAAGGGUUGUGGGGUUUCCGAAUUCUCAAAGUCCGACAGAGAAGAGGGUGCUGCUAAUCGAAUUACAGAAGAAGAAUAAGUGGAUUUGAAUGCAAGUCUCAGAGAAAGAGAUAAAUUGAGGUUUUGUGGUCAAGUAAUAGAUGGGUUUGAUGAUUCGAGAGGCUUGGAAGAAAGAUAAGAACAUGGAGAAAUAAUACAGGGUUAGGGUUUGAUUUGAGUUGAGCAGAAAUUCAUGGGGUUGUAAUGAUGAUUGUGCUGAUGGUGAAUGAAAUUGGAGCAAUUGAUGAUGAUUUAGGGUUCUUAAAAGAAGAAUCUAGGUCGAUUUCAGAUUCCAGUGUUGAAUUGAUGAUGUAUGCGAUUUUGUUCGAGGGAUUUUGUGCUACGUGGUUGAUAUUCAAGUACUGGGUUGUCUUCAGUGCACACUGUUGCAUCUCUUGGUGGCCUGAGAUGAUAUAACAGGUGGCUGCUUAGAUGUAUGCUUAGGUCACAGGAGGUGGAUAUGCUGGUGUCGGUUGGUAUGAGCUGAAUUGAUUGUGCUCGAGUUGGUAAUGCAGUUGCAGUUGGAGAUGUGACUGAGAUGAAGUUGCAGUUAAUGUUGCAGCUGGAUGCUCGAGUUUGUAUGAAUUUGAGAUUGUUCGAGUCACUGGUGAAUUUUAGAGAUGGGGAAGAAGAUGUUCUCUGCUGGUGAUUGUAUAAUGGAAUGGGUUGCAAUUGCAGUCAAUGUUAAUGGAGGAGCUGAACUAUAGAUGUAUGCUUAGGAAUGAAUUGGUACAGUGUGAAUACAAGACUGAGAAAGAGAUGGUUUGAUGCUCAAUAGAUGUAUGUUAGGAAUUUACAGGGAGGUGUUGCUUGAAUUGUAAGGAUUUGAGUUGGAUUGCUUAGCUCAAACUGGUGGCAUUACAAGCUGAGUUAAAGAUGGAAGCAGAGAGGAUUCUCAACUGAAAUUGCAGUGAGAUGGUUGGUGAUACUUCCAUGGCUAGGUAGUGAUGAAUUCAAGAUGUAAUUGACGGAGAUGUUCCUGUUGAAGCUUAAUGAUAAACAGAGUACAUGAUUGUGCUGGUCUGGCGUAAGGGGAGACAAUGGAUGCGCAGGUCUGCAUUGCAGGUGAUGGCUGAGCAGUUGUGGGAUUGAAGCUAUAGAAAACUGAAGAGAUGGAGGUAAUUAUGGAGUUGGUAUGAUGAAGCUGAAAGAGAUGUAUUUGUUGCAGUUCAUGGAUGAAGCAGCUGAGAGUACAGGAAUUGCAGGAGCUAUAGAAAUGGAAUGAUGUGCCGAAUGUAUAUGAACUGAGCAUGAGAUGGUGUUGGUGUUGCACGCAAUAAGAAGAAGUGGAGUUGAUUUGGAGCAGCAGAAGAAGGGGUCAUCAUGGUUGGGACUCGACUCGGCAUUUCAAAUCGGUGAUUCAAGAAAAUCCAACUCUACUCAUGAGGAAGGGCUUUUUGGACAUUUGACCCUGCCACCUAAGCGUUAACAGCUGCUAACUGCCGUUUACCGUUUUUUGAAUGAAACGGUCAAGGCAAGGGUACUUUAACAAAUUUUAAAAAAACGGGGGCAUCUUUUUAGUAUAAUGUUAGCCCAAAAUAAUUUCCCUACCAACAAUAAUUCAAGUAACACUCGGAGAAGGAGACAAACUUUCGAUUAUUGUGAAUUUGGGAUUCAUUCUCAAAGUUUAUACAAUUGACUAGUUUCUGUCGA